RNAcentral lists this ribosomal RNA (253 nucleotides) under uncultured bacterium. RNAcentral's name for it is "partial 16S ribosomal RNA". It matches the Rfam family "Bacterial small subunit ribosomal RNA", at positions 524 to 776 of the family's 1533-position model. The record is from RNAcentral.
UACGUAGGGGGCAAGCGUUGUCCGGAAUCAUUGGGCGUAAAGCGCGCGUAGGCGGCCCGGUAAGUCCGCUCUGAAAGUCCAGGGCUCAACCCUGGAAAGCGGGUGGAUACUGCCGGGCUAGAAUCCGGAAGAGGCGAGUGGAAUUCCUGGUGUAGCGGUGGAAUGCGCAGAUAUCAGGAGGAACACCAAUAGCGAAGGCAGCUCGCUGGGACGGUAUUGACGCUAAGGCGCGAAAGCCAGGGGAGCAAACGGG